UGGGGAAUAUUGCACAAUGGGCGAAAGCCUGAUGCAGCGACGCCGCGUGAGGGAUGACGGCCUUCGGGUUGUAAACCUCUUUCAGCAGGGACGAAGCGCAAGUGACGGUACCUGCAGAAGAAGCACCGGCUAACUACGUGCCAGCAGCCGCGGUAAUACGUAGGGUGCAAGCGUUGUCCGGAAUUACUGGGCGUAAAGAGUUCGUAGGCGGUUUGUCGCGUCGUUUGUGAAAACCAGCAGCUCAACUGCUGGCUUGCAGGCGAUACGGGCAGACUUGAGUACUGCAGGGGGGACUGGAAUUCCUGGUGUAGCGGUGAAAUGCGCAGAUAUCAGGAGGAACACCGGUGGCGAAGGCGGGUCUCUGGGCAGUAACUGACGCUGAGGAACGAAAGCGUGGGUAGCGAACAGG
Molecule: ribosomal RNA, 409 nt
Filed under: Brucella melitensis
Lineage: Bacteria; Pseudomonadati; Pseudomonadota; Alphaproteobacteria; Hyphomicrobiales; Brucellaceae
Also listed under: 3 other names
Description: partial 16S ribosomal RNA
Rfam family: Bacterial small subunit ribosomal RNA
Source: RNAcentral